Molecule: ribosomal RNA, 253 nt
Filed under: uncultured bacterium
Lineage: Bacteria
Description: partial 16S ribosomal RNA
Rfam family: Bacterial small subunit ribosomal RNA
Source: RNAcentral
UACGUAUGUGGCGAGCGUUGUCCGGAUUUACUGGGCGUAAAGAGCGCGCAGGCGGUCGUUCAAGUCGCGUGUGAAAGCCCCCGGCUCAACUGGGGAGGGUCACGCGAUACUGAUCGACUCGAAGGCAGGAGAGGGAAGUGGAAUUCCCGGUGUAGUGGUGAAAUGCGUAGAUAUCGGGAGGAACACCAGUGGCGAAGGCGACUUCCUGGCCUGUUCUUGACGCUGAGGCGCGAAAGCUAGGGGAGCAAACGGG